Molecule: ribosomal RNA, 213 nt
Filed under: uncultured bacterium
Lineage: Bacteria
Description: partial 16S ribosomal RNA
Rfam family: Bacterial small subunit ribosomal RNA
Source: RNAcentral
UACGAAGGGGGCUAGCGUUGCUCGGAAUCACUGGGCGUAAAGGGUGCGUAGGCGGGUCUUUAAGUCAGGGGUGAAAUCCUGGAGCUCAACUCCAGAACUGCCUUUGAUACUGAGGAUCUUGAGUACGGGAGAGGUGAGUGGAACUGCGAGUGUAGAGGUGAAAUUCGUAGAUAUUCGCAAGAACACCAGUGGCGAAGGCGGACUCGACUGGCC